This 1853-nucleotide ribosomal RNA is filed under the name Schizochytrium aggregatum. RNAcentral's name for it is "partial Bacterial large subunit ribosomal RNA". It matches the Rfam family "Bacterial large subunit ribosomal RNA", at positions 924 to 2785 of the family's 2925-position model. Lineage: Eukaryota; Bigyra; Thraustochytrida; Thraustochytriidae. The record is from RNAcentral.
GGGACAUAAGUCCUUACCAAACCGUUGCAAACUCCGAAUACCCUGAAGUUCAAUCGCGGGAGACACACGGUGGGAGCUAAAUUUCAUCGUGAAGAGGGAAACAACCCAGACCGCCAGCUAAGGUCCCUAAAUCAUCGCUAAGUGGUAAACGAUGUGGAAAGUCAUAGACAGCCAGGAUGUUGGCUUAGAAGCAGCCAUCAUUUAAAGAGUGCGUAAUAGCUCACUAGUCGAGUGGCCCCGCGCCGAAAAUGUACCGGGGCUAAACAAGAUGCCGAAGUUAUGGAUGCAUCCUUCGGGAUGCGUGGUAGGAGAGCGUUCUAAGGGCGGUGAAGGCAAAUCGUGAGGAUUGCUGGAGCGCUUAGAAGUGAGAAUGCCGGUAUGAGUAGCGAGACACGGGUGAGAAUCCCGUGCACCGAAUGACUAAGGUUUCCAGGGGAAGGCUCGUCCGCCCUGGGUUAGUCGGGACCUAAGUCGAGGCCGAAAGGCGUAGACGAUGGAUAGCAGGUAGAGAUUCCUGCACUAGUGUUAUUUGUUUGAGCGAAGGAAGGACACAGGAGGCUAUGGCAAGCGCGCUGAUGGAUAUGCGCGUCCAAGCAAUGAGUCUGAGGAGGAGUUAAAUGCUUCUUCUCACACGGACAAGUUGUGAUGGGGAGGGAAGUUUAGUACCGAAGUGCCAGACGUCACACUGUCAAGAAAAGUUCCUAGUGAGAAUAACACUACCCGUACCGCAAUCCGACACAGGUAGUCGAGGAGAGUAUCCUAAGGUGAGCGAGAGAACUCUCGUUAAGGAACUCGGCAACAUGACCCCGUAACUUAGGGAGAAGGGGUGCUGACAAUGUCAGCCGCAGUGAAUAGGCCCAGGCGACUGUUUAUCAAAAACACAGGUCUCUGCUAACUCGAAAGAGGAUGUAUAGGGGCUGACACCUGCCCGGUGCUGGAAGGUUAAGUGGACGCGUUAGCCGCAAGGCGAAGCGCUGAAAUGAAGCCCCAGUAAACGGCGGCCGUAACUAUAACGGUCCUAAGGUAGCGAAAUUCCUUGUCGGGUAAGUUCCGACCUGCACGAAUGGCGUAACGAUGGCGGCGCUGUCUCCACCCGAGACUCAGUGAAAUUGAAAUCGCUGUGAAGAUGCAGUGUAUCCGCGGCUAGACGGAAAGACCCCGUGAACCUUUACUAUAGCUUUGCACUGGACUUUGAAUUUGCUUGUGUAGGAUAGGUGGGAGGCUUUGAAGCGUGGACGCCAGUUCGCGUGGAGCCAACCUUGAAAUACCACCCUGGCAACUUUGAGGUUCUAACUCAGGUCCGUUAUCCGGAUCGAGGACAGUGUAUGGUGGGUAGUUUGACUGGGGCGGUCUCCUCCUAAAGAGUAACGGAGGAGUACGAAGGUGCGCUCAGACCGGUCGGAAAUCGGUCGUAGAGUAUAAAGGCAAAAGCGCGCUUGACUGCGAGACAGACACGUCGAGCAGGUACGAAAGUAGGUCUUAGUGAUCCGGUGGUUCUGUAUGGAAGGGCCAUCGCUCAACGGAUAAAAGGUACUCCGGGGAUAACAGGCUGAUACCGCCCAAGAGUUCAUAUCGACGGCGGUGUUUGGCACCUCGAUGUCGGCUCAUCACAUCCUGGGGCUGAAGCCGGUCCCAAGGGUAUGGCUGUUCGCCAUUUAAAGUGGUACGCGAGCUGGGUUUAGAACGUCGUGAGACAGUUCGGUCCCUAUCUGCCGUGGACGUUUGAGAUUUGAGAGGGGCUGCUCCUAGUACGAGAGGACCGGAGUGGACGAACCUCUGGUGUUCCGGUUGUCACGCCAGUGGCAUUGCCGGGUAGCUAUGUUCGGAAGAGAUAACCGCUGAAAGCAUCUAAG